This 253-nucleotide ribosomal RNA is filed under the name uncultured bacterium. RNAcentral's name for it is "partial 16S ribosomal RNA". It matches the Rfam family "Bacterial small subunit ribosomal RNA", at positions 524 to 776 of the family's 1533-position model. The record is from RNAcentral.
UACGGGGGGGGUAAGCGUUGUUCGGAAUUACUGGGCGUAAAGGGCUCGUAGGCGGCCAACUAAGUCAGACGUGAAAUCCCUCAGCUUAACUGGGGAACUGCGUCUGAUACUGGAUGGCUUGGAUUCGGGAGAGGAGUGCGGAAUUCCAGGUGUAGCGGUGAAAUGCGUAGAUAUCUGGAGGAACACCGGUGGCGAAGGCGGCAUUCUGGACCGAUAUUGACGCUGAGGAGCGAAAGCCAGGGGAGCAAACGGG